UUCAGUGAUGAAAACUGCUGCAUAGGAAGUGCCGUCUGAUGCGAUAACUGACGAUGGUUUAAAGCUUUUCUGAGA
Small nucleolar RNA from Solea solea (common sole), 75 nucleotides. RefSeq annotates it as small nucleolar RNA SNORD49. Lineage: Eukaryota; Metazoa; Chordata; Actinopteri; Pleuronectiformes; Soleidae. The transcript has a single exon. The record is from RefSeq and is a predicted model, not a curated record.